UGCCAGCAGCCGCGGUAAUACGUAGGGUGCAAGCGUUAAUCGGAAUUACUGGGCUUAAAGAGUUCGUAGGUGGUUGAAAAAGUUAGUGGUGAAAUCCCAGAGCUUAACUCUGGAACUGCCAUUAAAACUUUUCAGCUAGAGUAUGAUAGAGGAAAGCAGAAUUUCUAGUGUAGAGGUGAAAUUCGUAGAUAUUAGAAAGAAUACCAAUUGCGAAGGCGGCUUUCUGGAUCAUUACUGACGCUGAGGAACGAAAGCAUGGGUAGCGAAAGGGAUUAGAUA
This 279-nucleotide ribosomal RNA is filed under the name uncultured bacterium. Its description in RNAcentral is "partial 16S ribosomal RNA". It matches the Rfam family "Bacterial small subunit ribosomal RNA", at positions 506 to 784 of the family's 1533-position model. The record is from RNAcentral.